ACCGCCGUCGCGCGGUCGUAGGACAUGGCCGCCAGGAGGUAGCUGUCCGUGAUGCCCAGAGCCACGAAGAAGUACAUCUGGGCAAAGCACGCCUGGAAGGAUAUGGCCUGGCCCGGGUGGAGCAGGCCGGCCAGCAGCCUGGGGACCGUCACGGUGGUAAAGCAGACGUCCACGAGGCUCAGACAUGCCACAAAAUGUUGAAUGAAGAUAGGCAGCGUUGGCAAGGAGAGUUUCUGAAACUUCCACUGGAGGGCUCUGCGUGUUCUGGCAGGAAUGGUCCAAGGGCUAAUUUCUGAGGUCCCCAGAGGCUGACACGGCGGUGGAUAGAUGACUAGAUGAUCUCAUUUCUGGUUCACUCGUUUUCUCAUAUAUGGCCCUUCUUUGCUCUCCGGAGCAAAGGCCUGCACAGUGGUUCACCUGCUUCCUUUC
RNAcentral lists this small RNA (429 nucleotides) under Pongo abelii (Sumatran orangutan). Its description in RNAcentral is "processed transcript". The record is from RNAcentral. Lineage: Eukaryota; Metazoa; Chordata; Mammalia; Primates; Hominidae.